RNAcentral lists this ribosomal RNA (721 nucleotides) under uncultured bacterium. RNAcentral's name for it is "bacterial SSU rRNA". It matches the Rfam family "Bacterial small subunit ribosomal RNA", at positions 80 to 793 of the family's 1533-position model. The record is from RNAcentral.
AGGGGGAUGAGUAGCGCGGCGAACGGGUUGAGUAACACGCUGCAGAAUCUACCCAUUUAGCUGAGGAAUAACCGUUGAGAAAUCGAGAACAAUACCGCAUAAGUCCCUUCGGGGAGAAAGGUGGCUUUUAUGCUGCCGCUAAAGGAUGAGCUUGCGGGCUAUUAGUUUGUUGGUGGGGUAACGGCCUACCAAGACUAUGAUGGCUAACCGGCCUGAGAGGGUGAACGGUCACAUUGGAACUGAGACACGGUCCAGACUUCUACGGAAGGCAGCAGCGAGGAAUAUUGCGCAAUGGACGAAAGUCCGACGCAGCGACGCCGCGUGAGGGAUGAAGGCUCUAGGGUCGUAAACUUCUGUUAAGCGGGAAGAAAGACCUGUUAGUAAUAUGAACAGGAGAUGACGUUACCGCUAAAGAAAGCACCGGCUAACUUCGUGCCAGCAGCCGCGGUAAUACGAGGGGUGCAAGCGUUAUUCGGAAUUACUGGGCGUAAAGGGUGCGUAGACGGUUUAUUAAGUCAAUUGUUAAAGACUCCGGCCCAACCGGGGAACAGCAGUUGAAACUGGCAAACUUGAGGAUGAGAGAGAGGAGUGGAAUUCUCGGAGUAGCGGUAAAAUGCGUAGAUCUCGAGAGGAACACCGAUGGCGAAGGCAGCUUCUUGGCUCAUUCCUGACGUUGAGGCACGAAAGCGUGGGGAGCAAACGGGAUUAGAUACCCUGGUAG